AGCGGAAGGCAGCGGCCGUCCCGGGGCAGCCGCAGCCUCUCCCGGCACCGGGCCGUAUUUCGUUCCACAGCACAGCUCAGCCCGCAGCUCCCCGUGCGGAGCAGCUCCGCCCGCGCCCCGGCAUCGCCCCGGCACCGCGCUGCGGGGAGGGGGAGAGAGGCAGCGGCGGGCAGGAAGCCCUGCUUAUCGCCAGCCCUUCGGUAGCGAUAACCGAUCCCUGCGCCGGGCACCCAUUUC
Molecule: long non-coding RNA, 237 nt
Filed under: Gallus gallus (chicken)
Lineage: Eukaryota; Metazoa; Chordata; Aves; Galliformes; Phasianidae
Source: RNAcentral